GCGCGCGGCUUGGCGGCGCCGCGCACUUGCUGCUGCAGAUCCACGACGAGCUCGUCUGGGAGGUGCACGAGGACGACCUGGAGAGAGCUGCUGCGAUAGUGAAGGAGGUGAUGGAAGGCUGCGGGCACGCGUGCGGUCUGCCCUCGCUGCCCGUCAACGUGGCCGCCGGCCGCAGCUGGGGCACGCUGCUUCCUCUAGGGCUCCCGCAGCAAGCGUAGACAAUACCUGACGCAGCGGUGACCGGACUGUGGCAAAGAUGACGCUUAAGCUAAGCGUCCACUUGUCGGUAUCGUACGCAACGGACGCAUCGUACAAAACAUCGUACGAUGCGGACAGGUGGACGCACUUAUAUAAGUUUCUAUAUAAAUAAUAUUACGAUCCGUUGCGUGCGAUACGUCCGAUGCGUACGAUACCGACAUGUGGACGCUAGCCUUUAGGCCACAAAAACACAAAGUGACAUUGUUAAUAUACUGCAACUGGUAGUUCAAAUAGUUUUAACUCUCUUUUUCAUAGAUUGUCAACGAUUUUAAUAAAAACAUGAAAGUUU
Long non-coding RNA from Ostrinia nubilalis (European corn borer), 547 nucleotides. RefSeq lists it as uncharacterized. The transcript has 2 exons. The record is from RefSeq and is a predicted model, not a curated record. NCBI's taxonomy places the organism in Eukaryota, Metazoa, Arthropoda, Insecta, Lepidoptera, Crambidae.